GCACUGGUGUUGCAAUGGUCUAGCAUCCUUGCCUUGCCAGCAAGAGAUCCGGGUUCGAUUCCUGGUCAGUGCA
Molecule: non-coding RNA, 73 nt
Organism: Dimargaris cristalligena
Lineage: Eukaryota; Fungi; Kickxellomycota; Dimargaritomycetes; Dimargaritales; Dimargaritaceae
Source: the annotation of a GenBank genome assembly